RNAcentral lists this non-coding RNA (210 nucleotides) under Deferribacter desulfuricans. Lineage: Bacteria; Pseudomonadati; Deferribacterota; Deferribacteres; Deferribacterales; Deferribacteraceae. The record is from RNAcentral.
GAGUUUGAAAAUAUUAAAGGUUGUGCUAUAAUCAAUUUAGCAGGUGACGGGAAGUCCGGUGAAAAUCCGGCGCUGCCCCCGCAACUGUGAGCUGGACGAAAGCCCUUUCGUGCCACUACCGAGCAUCUAAAGUAUUUUAGGUGCAUGGUGGGAAGGCGGGCGAGUAGGAUGAAGGCGAGCCAGGAGACCGGCCUGCAAAAAAGACCUACG